RNAcentral lists this long non-coding RNA (241 nucleotides) under Sus scrofa (pig). RNAcentral describes it as "lncRNA (ENSSSCG00025068551.1)". Lineage: Eukaryota; Metazoa; Chordata; Mammalia; Artiodactyla; Suidae. The record is from RNAcentral.
CUCCUGCCUGGAAACUUCCAUACGCCAUUGUUUCGGCAAAAAAAAGGAAUAGGGAAAAUCUGUACUACAGACAGAAAACAAGAGGAAAGACUGAAGGUCCUCUCUGCGGAAGCAGGACACAGCUGAGGUGAGAACUUGAAAAGAUGUAGAGCAGUGCUUCUUAAACUUGAAUGUGCAUAAGAUGCUCUCAGAACACAGAUUCCUACUCCUGAGAGUCUGAGUUUGACUGAGUUGGUCUAGG